CUGAGAGUAAAUGGGUCUGACUACAACUCUAAAAAUACAGGGUUCAACUGGAGUUGUUCUGAGAUCCCCUAAGAACCAUAGGGUUCUUGGUCAAUGAAAAACAGCCCCAAAAGGUUCUUCAAAGAACAUGUUAGAAGAUCUUCUCAGAAAUGAAUCAAGUCCAUGGAAUGGAUAUAGACAAAACGAGAAUUCAAGAACUAGCAGAGGUAGAGAGGCAGGGGUGAGGACAUCAUCCUGCUAUUUUGACAGUCCCUGAAGGACAAUACAGAAGAGAUUUCACCGCUCUUCACUCCUUUACUGCACAUCGGCGGAAAUCCAUUUCACCAUGAGAGUGAAAUCCCGCUGGCCUUUGAUGGGGAGAACUUCCACGCCCUCGAGGACGUCUCCGUGGGACUUGGGGCUCUGCUAGGGCUGUAUUUUUUAUUUUCCCUUAAAUUUGCUAUUUUGUAAUGUGUUUUGUUUGGUAAAUUGUUUUGUAAAUAUUAAUUCACAUUUGUGGUGCCACUAAAUAAACAAUUAUUAUUUAAG
Molecule: long non-coding RNA, 528 nt
Organism: Oncorhynchus tshawytscha (Chinook salmon)
Lineage: Eukaryota; Metazoa; Chordata; Actinopteri; Salmoniformes; Salmonidae
Source: Ensembl